GCGACUAUGGUGGAAUAGGUAGACACAAGAGAUUUAAAAUCUCUCGGCUUAGGCCGUCCCAGUUCGAUUCUGGGUAGUCGCACCA
RNAcentral lists this transfer RNA (85 nucleotides) under Vibrio sp. SCSIO 43137. Its description in RNAcentral is "tRNA-Leu". It matches the Rfam family "tRNA". From Rfam's summary of the family: Transfer RNA (tRNA) molecules are approximately 80 nucleotides in length. Their secondary structure includes four short double-helical elements and three loops (D, anti-codon, and T loops). The record is from RNAcentral. Lineage: Bacteria; Pseudomonadati; Pseudomonadota; Gammaproteobacteria; Vibrionales; Vibrionaceae.